Molecule: long non-coding RNA, 1237 nt
Filed under: Strigops habroptila (Kakapo)
Lineage: Eukaryota; Metazoa; Chordata; Aves; Psittaciformes; Psittacidae
Description: lncRNA (ENSSHBG00005021328.1)
Source: RNAcentral
UUUUUGGCUUAUAUGGAAACUUGUAUAGGGCAACUUUGCUCAGGAAGUGAAUUCAUUGAGUUGCCUCAAAUCAAAGUUGAUCAGCUCUUACCACUUUGGCCCAUGGUUUGUGUAAUUGUUAGAAGUAAAGAAAGAAAAUAAAGAAGUCCCAUCUUUCCAUCUAUGCAUACUCUAACCAAGAGAAGAUGACAGUCAUGUUGAUCCACAGUGAAGGUAUCUUUUAAAAAUAUAACAAAUAUACAUAAAAAACUUGAGAAAGCUGUAUUAAAAAGACUUUGAACCAGUAACCUAAUGCGUUACCGCAUGAGGAUUAUCUAAAGUGCUCAUGGGAAACUUCUAUCUAAUUUAAUGAGUAAUACAUUUUCAAGUUUACUUUUUCCUUUAUAAGAUAAAUCCAUGAAAAAAUCUAUCCAAUGGGUUAAAUUUCUGAAACUUUAAUGGGCCACUACAAUAAGAAUACAUUAUGCAUUAAAGGAAUAAGAACCUGUUGUGUGAGUGCCCUCAGUCUUCCUCCUGUUCAUGCUGCGGGCAAAAAAUGAACAAUAUUGGGCUCUUAUCUGGUAAAUGAGGUAAAGGUUUAAUUCUGUCAUUAAAGAUGUCACAAUGUAGUCCAAAUGAAUUAACAUGAAGAAGUGAAUAGGUUUAAAAUGAAAGAUCAGUAUAAGUAAGCUUGAAGAAGUCUCAGAAUUUCUGUAGUUUUGGUGAGCAGGUUAAUAUUACUUCCAACACUGCUUAUCCCAGCAAACAUAAUUUAAAACUGGGAAGAAACUCCUUUAUUUUACCAUGCUGCUUUCCACAGUGCUAACAAUUACCUGUCUGUUUCAACAUAUUCAUAUAUACCCAGUCCCUGUUUUAUGUGUUAAGGAUAUAAAGUCCAACUCAGUAAGCAGUGAAGUUACUUCACUUGUAAAUUCUCCUUUUUUUUCUGAAGCCCAUUAGUCUCAAUAUUAUGGAAACCUUGCUCUGGAAAUACCUUGGUUUCUUCCCACUCAGGUCUAUUCAGCUGUUGUUAAUAAUUGGUCCACUGAUGAUAUUGUAUUUACUGUUACUUCAGUGCAUUUCCUCUCAUGCCCUAAUCUUUGAGAUACUUUAUCUAUUUGGUUUUUUCUUUAAAUGUUUAAAUUUUAUUGAUGGCUUUUUAAUAUUAUAACUUAAGAACUGAUCAUAAAUCUUUGCCAUAGCCAGUUUAACCAGUCUGUAUUGUAUAUAUGAAAAAAAUCCAAACAAUUUAGCUUCC